GACGAACGCUGGCGGCGUGCUUAACACAUGCAAGUCGAACGCUGAAGCUUGGUGCUUGCACUGGGUGGAUGAGUGGCGAACGGGUGAGUAAUACGUGAGUAACCUGCCCUUGACUCUGGGAUAAGCCUGGGAAACUGGGUCUAAUACUGGAUACGACAUGUCACCGCAUGGUGGUGUGUGGAAAGGGUUUUACUAGUUUUGGAUGGGCUCACGGCCUAUCAGCUUGUUGGUGGGGUAAUGGCUCACCAAGGCGACGACGGGUAGCCGGCCUGAGAGGGUGACCGGCCACACUGGGACUGAGACACGGCCCAGACUCCUACGGGAGGCAGCAGUGGGGAAUAUUGCACAAUGGGCGGAAGCCUGAUGCAGCGACGCCGCGUGAGGGAUGACGGCCUUCGGGUUGUAAACCUCUUUCAGCACGGAAGAAGCGAAAGUGACGGUACGUGCAGAAGAAGCGCCGGCUAACUACGUG
This 472-nucleotide ribosomal RNA is filed under the name uncultured bacterium. Its description in RNAcentral is "partial 16S ribosomal RNA". It matches the Rfam family "Bacterial small subunit ribosomal RNA", at positions 28 to 507 of the family's 1533-position model. The record is from RNAcentral.